This 1030-nucleotide long non-coding RNA is filed under the name Homo sapiens (human). RNAcentral's name for it is "HSALNT0404239". The record is from RNAcentral. Lineage: Eukaryota; Metazoa; Chordata; Mammalia; Primates; Hominidae.
UGCUGUUUAAAAUGAAUGGAUCUCUAUUUCAAGAUGGCAUGUCUAGUACACUUACGUGCACCGCCUCACAAGCACACUGAAAUGACAGAAAAGAUUAUAAGCCAGAAGCAAACAAAGGCAGGCAAGGAAAUUUGAGGUUGUUGCAUCUGGAAGUAAACAUGUAGCUACUUCUUCUAAUAAAACAGAGGGACACAUUUUGAUUACCUGAAAAAUUCAGUUCUAUCUUUUGAUUUGGUCUGGACACCUGGAGGUCAGCAACCGAGAGCAGGAAGGAGGCACAGCAACAACAGAACAACAACAAGAGGCUGCGACAGGGGCGGCGUGGGUCAAAAGGAAGCAACCUGGAGGACGGUCCUCCUUGCGGCUUGGAGCAGAGCUUCAGGUUGGGCACCACGACAGAGCUGGGCCAGAAGUCUAACACAGCCUGUUUGGAACACAACCCGGGAUACUUGUGUGGUUGGGUUCAGUCAGUCAAGGGAAACAAGAAGCUAACCCGUGGCUGGGAGUGUUCAUGCAAUGCUCGUGGAAUACUCAGCGCAAAGCCUGCCCGCAAGCACAAAGGGUAUCAAGGAAGAGUUAAAUGGGAAGUUGGGUCAUGGUGUGGAAUCAUAUUAAGCUCUUAGGUGCUCUGACCCUGGAGGAGAGGGAUUUCACUGAGAUGAGAAGGAUGCGUGAUGGGAUCCAUGGGCACUGGAGGCUUAUAUUUCCCUCUCAUGCCAUGCUCAAGUGAUGGGAGGGCAGAGGCAUGAGAGGGUGCUAAGGGACUAAACGCCAUGGCCACAGGAGCUCUGGCCAAGGCCCCAGGAGUCAAGAAGUGCACAGAGGGCAUGGAUGCGUUGGAAAGGGGAGGUGCUGGCCUUUUAAAGAUCAUAUGGCUUGGACAAGGAACAUGCAUGAGAGAAGUACUGGACUUUUCAUUUCCUGCCCUGGGCCUUGCCAGUGGAGGAGCACUGAGAUCUGCUAUAAUCAACACUCUUAUUGGAAGCAUUACUGUUCCGUGAAAAAUCGCCUGUGCCUGGGCUUCUCUUGC